RNAcentral lists this ribosomal RNA (243 nucleotides) under Triticum aestivum (bread wheat). RNAcentral describes it as "partial small subunit ribosomal RNA". The record is from RNAcentral. Lineage: Eukaryota; Viridiplantae; Streptophyta; Magnoliopsida; Poales; Poaceae.
AUGCACAGCUCCAUUUUGAUGACUCCAUCACCAGGGAGCUCUUGGUUGCACUGCAAUCAGGGAGGCCUUGUCAACUCGCUGAUGCCACUUAACCUCUAUGGUCUCUCAUUGCUCAAGAUGGAUAGUUUUGUGCAGGUUUGGCCUCAACCACUUCUUCAACAAAGCUUCCAGUCGGGCGGCGUCCCACUUCACAUUUUGCUAAGGUGCUUCCAUGAUUUCUCCAGUCUCUCAAGCGCAUCAUAG